RNAcentral lists this long non-coding RNA (15941 nucleotides) under Homo sapiens (human). Its description in RNAcentral is "HSALNT0406249". The record is from RNAcentral. Lineage: Eukaryota; Metazoa; Chordata; Mammalia; Primates; Hominidae.
AUUCAUGCUUCCUCACCCACAGUUCUCAGGUUCUGUGAGACCAGAGCCUCAGUCUCCCGUGAGCAGAGGGUGUGUGUGUGGCUGCCACUAUUCUGCAGACACGCUGGCUCCACCCCAGAGAGUUGCAGGGCCAGGAAAUCUGCAUUUAAACAGACCCUGGCUCUCACACUUCGGAAACUGCCCGAAGCACCUCUCAAAUAUGGGACAGGUGCUUAGGCCGAAAAUCAGGAAUCUCUUGAAUGAAUGCAUGAAGGUGGAGCCCUUUCCCUUAAUGCGCAGGUGAAAAGGGCACCUCGGUGGAUUCUACUAAAUUUAAUAGAAGGUAAGUAGGACCUGGGUCACACCGGCUUGUGGAAAGUGGAGGUCAGAAUCUGAGAGGCUGCGUUUGGCACUAGGUGGGAAGGAGCUGGCUAGGGGGCAGAGGAAAGAGGGCAGGUGGCUUCGGAUCCGGGGUCUCUCUUUCGUUCAACUCCGUGGGUGUUAAGGGAGCCCCAUGGCGGCCUGGGCAAGCGCUGAGAGCACCUGGAAAGAGAACACCCCGCUGGACCCUCCUCUCCCCUCACUUCCAGUUGCACAGGCGAGGCCCAGCCACCUGGACGCAGGCCCAGAAGCCCAGGAGGCGGGCUAGGGGAAGGAGGGGUUUCCUGGGUCACCAGCCCCUCCCCACCGGGUCCCUGGUUCGCAGGAGGCCUCGAGGCUCGGUCCCCUGCCCGCCCCCUCUACUCUGUUUCCCCACUGCCCACAGCCUGGCCUGGUAAACAGCCCUUUCCCUGGGAAUUUCUCCCCAGCAUCUCCGGCAGGUGUGGAUGGGGGUUUGUGGCCACCCAGCCUCCCCUUCUCCAGGCCAAGACAUCCCUGGUCCUGUUUGUCCUCCCAACAUGGCUUCCAGACCCUUCUCCGUGGGGGACCCCAGCCUGCAUUUCCGGUUCAGAUAGGGUCUGACCAGGAUGGAGGUUGGAACUGUGGUCCCCUCACCAUGGACACAUGGCUCCUGGGAGACCCCUGGCUCCUUUCGGGUCCCCCAUUUCCUUCCAGCUGGGGUCAGGGCCAGCCAGCUGCAGGAUACCCUCUGCUGUGCCCCUUCUGGGCCCCAGGAGGCCCUUCCUUCCUCUUGGGAUGAGGGCGCCGUCCCUACAUGCUUGUCUUGUGGGUGCCUGGUGAUGCUGAACCACCUGGGCCUCCCUCAUGGCGAGGCCCUUCCUUCCUCGCAGGGACCCAUUCGGGGUGGCCCUUAGGAAGGGAGCUGUUUUGGAAGACCCCUUGACUGCCCUUCUCCUCUGUCUCAUCCUCAUUCCAGGACCUUGCUCAGUGGCUGAGAUUGUAUACUCGUCAUUUUGAUUUAGAAAAAGACAUGAUCAGGUUCUGGGAUCUAUUCUCCCUAAGGAUGUCUGGCCAGGGUAAUAGCCCUGCACUGAGCAGAAGGCAUGGAGACCACAGGGUGGGCCACAGAGCAGGAAAGAUCGAGGGAAGGGGCAAAGAAUGGCAGAGGUGAAGGAAUCCAGAGUACUCCAGGUGCUGCACACACACCAGACCUCACAGCCCCCUGUGGAGCUCAGAUUAUUCCCUUAUUUUUCUUUUUUUUUUUUUUUUUGAGAUGGAGUUUCCCUCUUGUUGCCCAGGCUGGAGUGCAAAAGUGCAAUCUCCGCUCACCACAACCUCUGCCUCCCAGGUUCAAGCUAUUCUCCUGCCUCAGCCUCCCGAGUAGCUGGGAUUACAGGCAUGUGCCACCACGCCCAGCUAAUUUCGUAUUUUUAGUAGAGACAGGGUUUCUCCAUGUUAGUCAGGCAGGUUAUCCCCAUUUUAUAGGGAAAGAACUUGAGUCUGCAAGAAGCAAGUCACCCAGGAUUCUCAGGGCGAGGAGGAGGCUGAACCAGGAUUUGGACCCAGAUAUCUCUGGCUCUCAAGCCUCCUCUUUUCUAUAAACCACCUGUUUACAGCACAGAGGGAGCUGGUCAUUGGGGCCGAGCUGGGUUUAUGGUAUCUGAAGCUUACACAAUUUCAAGAGGACUCUCAUUUAAAAAAAAAAACAAACACAAUUACAAAACCAAAAUUAGGCAUAACAGUGAAUUUUAUUUAUUUAUUUAUUUUAUUUUUAAUUUUUUUUUUUGAGGCGGAGUCUCGCUCUGUCACCCGGGCUGGAAUGCAGUGGCGCCAUCUCGGCUCACUGCAAGCUCCGCCUCCUGGGUUCAGGCCAUUCUCCUGCCUCAGCCUCCCGAGUAACUGGGAUUACAGGUGCCCACACCAUGCCCGGCUAACUUUUGUAUUUUUAGUAGAGACAGGGUUUCACCACAUUGGCCAGACUGGUCUCGAACUCCUGACCUCAGGUGAUCUGCCUGCCUCGGCUUCCCAAAGGGCUGGUAUCACAGGCUUGAGCCACCACACCUGGCUUCCCUAUGUUUUUCUAUAUCCUGAUCGCUUCCUUGUACAACAAGGAUUUUGCAAUGCCAUAUUCUAUAGAGAAAACAAACUUCAAUCAAAUUUCUUUGAUAUGGUAGCAGGAAGAGUUCAGGGCAUGGCUGUGUCAAGUUUUCUCAUGUGGGACCUGACCUUACAUGCUCCUUGGAUGGGCCACACUGGUGACCACGCGAGGCUUUGAUGCUCUCAUCACAGGGACCUGUUCUGAGUUUUAUGUUGUCUUUGUUGGUUUCAACAUUUUAUGCCAAAUCAGCAAGAAAUUUAAAUCUUUUUUCAUCAUGAUCAUUGUAUUCAUUCUCCUUCAUUCAUUGGUGAGCCUGUUCCUGGAAGCCAUCUGUACCCUCGGACAGCCAGCAACGACUGAGCUACACAUGGAUAGAACCAUGAACCACAAGAAAUACCCCUGAAUUCUGAACUAUUUCCAUAUCAACUUCUCCCAAAAUACCCACAGCCAGUCCAACACCAUCCAACUGGAUGGGAGCAGGGAAGGCGGGGAAUCAGAGUGGAAAGAGACUUAGCUGAGUUAUUUUUAUUAUUUUUAAAAGCCUUAUUCAUAGACAUAUGUGUAUAUUUAGAGACAGAGUCUAUCACUACGUUGCCCAGGUUUGAUUCUUUUUUUAGAGACAGGUCUGGAGUACAGUGGUGCAAUCUUUGCUCAUCACAGCCUUGAACUCCAGGGCUCAAGCCAUCCUCCCACCUCAGCCUCCUGAGUAGCUGGGACUACAAGCAUGUGCUGUGCCACCAAGCUGGCUUGGUGUGACUAACUGAUGUCUCACCUUUGCAAACUUUACAGAAACAUAUGACAUAGGAACACAUUGCAAUUACAUAUUGCAAUUCAGCAGAAAAAAAAAAAAGAAAGACUUUCUUUUUACUGAAUGGCACUGACUUACCAGGUACAUACAAGCAAGUGGAGUCUGGGGACCACUUUUUGGCUGUUCUAGAGAAAGUGCCCCAAAGAGGAUUCAGCAGCCAGACUCCUGUUAGUUUUCUCAUCUCACUCAGAAGGCUCAGCCUCUGAAACAACCAUUCCAGGACUUGGAGGCAGGGGAUCUGGGUUAAAGGCCCAGCUCUGCCGUUUCCUAACUGUGGGGCCUUGGCAAGUGCAGGUCCUGUGAGCUUCACCAGCCUCAUUAGCAAGAAUAGUUCAUGUUCCCCUGCCACGGAAGUGCCCUGUGAACUAGAAGAGAGCAUGGGCAAGUAUGGGGUUAGUCUCGCUAACAGAUCAGCCAGCUUCUGUCUGGGCAAUUCUGUCAUUUAGGGUUUUGCUGGGGUGGCCCCGGGAGUCGUUUGGGAGUUCACCUAUCUCCCCAGGCAUGGAGAAGGGGUGGUGUUUCUGAAUCAGGAUUCUGAGCUGAACUGCAAACCUGACUGUGCUCCAAGUUUCUUGGACCAGCAAGCCCAGCUCCCAGAGUCCCGCUGCCCUGGCCUGAACCCGCCGCUCCACACCCCGGGCUCUCGGCAGCCGGGCGGCUCGUGGGAGGAGGCGCCAUGAGCCUUCUUGCAUUUCCUGCUUCAGACUUGAUGGAUUACAGAGGACUCCUGCUCCAGCUGUGGGGAACUCCAGCCCGCACUUUGCCUCCAGCCCGAUGGUGCAAGAUCCAGCUUCUCUUCAGCCUGGCAUCAAACGUCUUUUUGAUCAGCUUUUCAUCCAUUUUCUGAAAAUGUAGUGAUUGAGAGAUGUUCUGAAUCUUGCAGAAUUCUGUGUCGCACCCUGGCCACACAUCAAUGCAGGCCUGAACCUGACCCUGGGUGGACUCCCUGCUCUCUGCCAGCCCCUUUCUCACCCCUGGGUCCCCACGGCCCCUGGCUCUCUCCCCUCUGCUAGAAUCUCGCUGAGGGAUUGGUGGGGAGGGGGUGGUCACGCACUGGGUGGAGAUCUGGUGCCCCCUGGAGGCCGGACAGGAAGGGCCAGGGCGGACAAGGUCUUUGAGAACUCGGUGGCAUCCCGCUCCUGAUGGCCUGGGUCCCACCGCCCCUCCCCCAGCCUUCCUGACAGCAGAGGAGAUUGAUGGGGCGCUGCUCGAAUGUUCUUCAUCAGCGUCUUCAGUAAUAAGCUUCUCCAUUGGGUAACCGAUCCUAGUUUAGCAAAACCGUUUGUCAACCAUUUCCUCCCUUGAGCUUGAUAAGAACCCCGUGGGAGAGGAGAGAGGGGGGCCCCCCAGGAUCUGAAAAGCUGUGCCUCAGCCAAGUUCAUGAGUCACUGGCGAGGAGGCCUGUAGGUCAGCAAAGCCUAGGAGGUCAAGAGUGCCCACAUGGGGACCUACGGGCCUCAGGGCCGCAGGUUGCUGGGUUGGACCCUGGCUUGGAGCUCAGGAUAGAAACCCGGAAACCCCACAGGCAAAGAAGGAUGCAGAACAGAACAGGGCAGAACCAAGGACCCAGUGAGGGUGGCUGGCGUCAGAGCAAAUAUCAGAGUUCACAAGGUGAAAUAAUCCAAAAAUCUAUACAGAAAAAGCUAAUCAUUUUCUCCAAUCUCUCCCCCAAAGGUGUCUACUCCUGCAGGCUUACCUGUAACCUUUGUCACUCACUCUUCUGAUUCUGCAAACAUAUAAACCACGGAGCCACAGCCAAGAGAAUCUGGACUUGUUCGUUUUUCCUGAAAUAGGAUAUCUUAAAUAAUCCGUGGCUCAGCACUGCGCCCUUUUUUUUCUUUUCUUUUCUUUUUUUUUUUUUUUUUGAGACGGAGUCUCGCUCUGUUGCCCAGGCUGGAGUGCAAUGUCAUGAUCUUGGCUCACUGCAACCUCUGCCUCCUGGGUUCAAGCAACUCUCCUGCCUCAGCCUCCUGAGGAGCUGGGACUGCAGGUGCAAGACACCACGCCUGGCUAAUUUUUGUUAUUUUUAGUAGAGACAGUGUUUCACUAUGUUGGCCAGGCUGGUCUCGAACUCCUGACCUCAAAUGAUCUGCCUGCCUCGGCCUCCCAAAGUGCUGGGAUUACAGGCACAAGCCACAGCACCCAGCCUCACUGUGCCCUUUUCACUGGCAGGCAUUUUAUUGUCCCUACAGACCCAAGACGGGGUGGGGGAGACGUGCUUUGUGCUCACCUGGCUGGUUCAUGGGCAGGUGGCCUGGAGGACCCAGCCCUGGCAGCUGUGGGGUAGCUCCAGCCUGGGCCGGACAGGUAAGCGGAAUCAAGAGAUGGGGCCAGUUGCGGCUACAGGGCCAGGAGGGGCUGCAGCUCCUGGUCAGGGUCUUCAGAAAAGCAGGGUUCUGCUGGCUGGCCUGCAGUGGAAAGAAGACAGAGGGACAGGGAACUGGGGGUAGGGACAACCCUGCUCAACUAAGUGACCUUGAGAGGACAGGAGUCCCCACAGGAAAAUCAGGAGACUGUUCCUCUGGCUGGGGUGGGCUGUGGGGAGGAUGCUGGGCCAGCAGAGCCUGACAGAGCCACCCCAGUCAUAAAAGGAUAUGUUUUUGUCAAGACUUUUCUAAACCCAUAAUCACCUCCCUCCUAUGUCUUGGGUCAGCUUCUUUCAUCGCAGGCACCACUGCGGACAUUGCUGGGAGGAAGAGGAGGGAGAAGCGACGGGCUUCAUUAGGAACGGAAAUGCCAAGAUUAGUGAAAGAAUGAAAAGAGUCAAAACAGCCUAGAAAAGGCUUCAAUGAUCCUCAAACUGGAUGAUCGAAUCCCGAAUAAUUGGGAAUCAACAGUAAAGGCCAAAGCUUUCGAUGGAUUGGACGAGGCGCGUCCACCCUGGGGAGGGCCAUCAUUUUAUUCAGUCUACUGAUGCAAAUGCUUAUCUCUUCUGGAAACACCUUCACAGACAGACCCAGAAUAUAGUUGAACCAAAUACUGGGCACCUCAUGGCUCCAACAGGUUGACACAAAAAAUGAACCAUUGCAGAAAACGAAGAACAGUCACCAACUCCCACCCAUGCAGCUGGCUCAUUUGCUGGGCUGCCCUCCCCAGCAGGUGGCACAGGAAUCCCUGCCUUGGCAGGGAGGAGGCCUGGGGUGUGUGCAGGUACCCAUGGGAAGUUUCUUUGCCAUGGGGAAAGCCAGAGUCACCCCUUGCUUGAACACAAGAGUUGGAGGUUUCAGUGAGCUGAGAUUACGCUAUUGCACUCCAGCCUGGGCGGCAGAGUGAGACUCUGUCUCUAGAUAAAUAAAUUAAAUAAAUAAAUAAAUAUAAUUUAAUAUAAAUAACUAGAAAUUUUUCAAUACUUGCAUCUCUGUAGGUUACCUCUGGAAGUGCAGGGCUUUGUCUUUUUGGAUUAACUCAGAAAUUAGACCUUCAGAAAACAACAUCAGCUCUGAUUCUCUGCACCCUUGAUGCUGCCGGUGGCGACUGCGGCUUCCUGAUGGAAAUGUAGACCUGAACAUAAGUCGCAGAAAAAUGCAGACUUGAGUUGGAGCUAAGCUGACUCAGGUAUUUUGAGAUCUAUAAUCUGAGUGGGGAGCAGAGAGAUUCCAAGAUAUUUGCAUUCAGUGGCUUUUGCACACAGCAGAACCUGUGCUGAGGGCAUUUCUAGGGUCAUUACUCAUAAUCUGCAGUGUCUCUUUCCAGGGUUCCAGGCGUCUUACCCCAGAGGUGAUUUCCAGAUUUCGAGAAAAACCCAGGAUUUAGGGCUGGCACGGUGGCUCACGCCUGUAAUCCCAGCAUUUUGGGAGGCCGAGGCAGGUGGAUCACUUGAGGUCAGGAGUUUGAGACCAGCCUGGCCAACAUGAUGAAACCCUGUCUCUACUAAAAAUACAAAAAAAUUAGCCGGGUGUGGUGGCAUGCACCUGUAAUCCCAGCUACUCAGGAGGCUGAGGCAGGAGAAUCACUUGAACCUGGGAGGCAGAGGUUGCAGUGAGCCUAGAUCGUGCCAUUGCACUCCAGCCUGGGCAACAAGAGCAAAACUCCAUCUCAAAAAAACAAACAAACAAACAAACAAAACGCAAGAUUUAGAUCCCCUCACUGUAGCGCCCUCAUGGCCUGGUAACUUUAGCAAAGCCUCCCCCUCCUCCCCCUCCUCCUCCUCCUCCUCCUCCUCCCUCCUCCCUCUUCUAGGUACAGAGGAUGAGCAGUGGCUCCCCACACCAUCCCCUGAAGCAGAGGCCCCUCUUCCCUUCAUUCCCCAUUCUGUACAGAUGCUAUGGGAGCUUCAGGCUCCACACUCAGGUCCCCAGUCCCUGAAACAUAAAGCUGAAUAAGACAGAGUCCCUGGGCUGAAGGGGCCACUGUUGGCCAUGGAAGCAGAGUAAACAGAGUGGGGCCGACGUAAAGGUGAGCUGGGGUGCACUGGAGGCACAAAACGGGCAAGGAUGGAGACGUGGGUGACGAGGUAGGGCAGACAGGCAGAGCUCAGACUGGGUCCUAGGCAGGGAGAAGUCACCAUUGUAGAGCAAGGACGAUGUGGUCAGAUCUGGGCUUUAGAAAUCUAGGUGUCUAGCCUAGGCAAUAUAAUGAGACCUCGUCUCCACAAAAAACUUAAAAAAUUAGCCGAGUGUGAUGCCACAUGUCUGUAGCCGCAGCUACUCAGAAAGCUGAGGAUCCCAAGUGGAAGGAUAACUCUAGCUCGGGAGGUCGAGGCUGCAGUGAGCCAUGAUCGUGCCAUUGCACUCCAGCCUGGGCAACAGAGCGAGACCCUGUCUCAAGAAAAAAAAAAAAAAAGUAAAAGAAAAAGAAAGAAGAAAUACAGCUCUGGAGCUGCCUAGGACAGGGUUGGGGACUCUCCUGACUAGCUGCCAGCGAAUGUUUGCUUUCUGUGGCCAGGCCCUGCCUGGCCAGGGUGCACAGGGCUGAGCGAGGCAGAUGGAGCCCCUGCUCUCAGACUGCUUUUCCGAAUGCCAUCUUGACGCUGCUCAAGUUUGGAUUUUGGUUUUCAUGGAAGUCAACUAUGGUUCUGACAUGGCCACCUCUGUCUCAACUGAUGCACGGCCUAGGGAAUCCGGUGAUGCUUCAGCAGGUGGCAGGGCUCAGCUGCACCCGCCCGGGCCCCAGCGCCGCCUGCCACUCCUCCUCCUCCUCCCAGGCUUCGGCUGAGAGCAGGGCCUGGAGCCAGCCUGCUGGGUGGACUCCCAGCUCCACAGUUGGCUAGCUCUGGGGCCCUGGGGAGAUGUCCACCCUCUCUGUGCUUUAAUUUCUUCACCUGUGAGGUGGGGAUGGUAGCACCUCCCUCAUGGGGUGGCUAUGGCUGUGAAAUGAGGUAACGUCUCGGUGUUAGGCAGCUUCCAAAACGGCUCUCCAAGAUCCCCUGCCUCCUGGCCUUCAUAGCCUUGUGGAACCCCUGGCCCUGUGUGUGGGCUGGACUCACUGCCUGCUUCCACCCAAGAGAACAGGGCACAGCUGAUGGGGGUUACUUCUGAGACUAGGUGAUCAAGACUGGGGCUUGCUGGGUCCCUCUGUCUCUGACUCUUUCCUCUGCUCUCUCCUGCUCACUUGCUCACCCUAAUACUAUAUCAAGAGCUGCCCUAGAAAGAGGCCCCGUGGCAAAGAACCAAAGGCACCCAGCAACACGAGUGAGGGUGGAAGUGGCUCUUUCCCCAUUCCAGCCUCGCGGUGACCGCAGCCCUGGCUGACACCUUGCUUGCAGCCUGGUGAGAGACAGCAGCCCGAGGACCCUGCUAAGCUGCACCCAGGCUCCUGACCCAUGGAAACUGUGAGAUGAUAAACAUGUACUGCUUAAGCUGAGAUUCGGGCUAAUUUGUUACACAGUCAUAGACAUCGUUUUUUGUUGUUGUUGUUUUUUGAGAUGGAGUCUCACUCUGUCGCCCAGGCUGGAGUGCAGUGGCACAAUCUCAGCUCACUGCAACAUCCACCUCCCAGGUUCAAGCGAUUCUCGUGCCUCAGCCUCCCAAGUAGCUGGGAUUACAGGCAUCUGCCACCAUGCCCGGCUAAUUUUUUUGUAUCUUUAGGAGAGACAGGGUUUCACCAUGUUGGCCAGCUGGUCUCAAACUCCUGAGCUCAAGAGAUCUGCCCACCUUGGCCUCCCAAAGUGCUGGGAUUACAGGCAUGAGCCACUGUGCCCGGCCUGUUACACAGUCAUAGACAUCUAUAAAAUACUCAACACGGUGCCGGCGCAUGGCAAGCAUCAGUUACUGACCACGGUGACCCUUCUGUGUACACCAGGGGAACUCAAAAUACUCAGGAAAUCUAAGCAUAUAAGCCUAGUCACCAGGCUGUCGACAUGACCCUUAACAAUGAACCUGUGUCUUUUGCCACCUCAUGAUGUCAUAGAAGAAGAGCAGCAUCAAUGUUAAGAGUCUGGAGGAGGGACUAGAUGCUGUGGCUCACACCUGUAAUCCCAGCACUUUGGGAGGCCGAGGCAGGUGGAUCACCUGAGGUCAGGAGUUCGAGACCAGCCUGGCCAACAUGGUGAAACUUUGUGUUUACUAAAAAAUACAAAAAAUUAGCCAGGCAUAGUGGCAUGCACCUGUAAUCCCAGCUACUCUGGAGGCUGAGGCAGGAGAAUCUCUUGAACCUAAAAUCUAAAAAAUAAGACCACGCCAAGGAAAAAAAUCAGUAACAGUAUAGAGGGGAUGGAAGCAGACCUCUUUAAUACACCUUGUUCUUCAGUUUUGACUUUGCCAUCAUGUAAAUGCUUUAUUUAGUUCUAAAUCAAAUUUAAAUUGAAAAAAAAAAAUUCCCAGGCCAGGGCGGCGGCUCAUGCCUGCGAUCCCAGCACUUUGGGAGGCUGAGGUGGGCAGGUCAACUAAGCCCAAGAAUUUGAGACCAGCCUGGGCAAUAUGACAAAACCCCAUCUCUACAAAAAAUACAAAAUUAGCCAGAUGUGGUGGUGCAGGUGCUUGGAGGCUGCUUGGGAGGCUGAGGUGGGAGGAUGACCUGGGCCUGAGAGGUGGAGUUUGCAGUGAGUCGAGAUUGCACCACUGCACUCCAGCCUGGGUGACAGAGUGAGGCCCUGUCUCAAAAAAGAAAAAAAAAAAAGUAUUUCCUAGUUGAUUUUUGUUCAACUUCAAUUAAUCAUAAUCUACCUUCUUUUUUUUGUUUUUGAGACAAGAGUCUCGCUCUGUUGCCCAGGAUGGAGUGCAAUGGUGUGAACUGCAACCUCUGUCUCCUGGGUUCAAGCAAUUCACCUGCCUCAGCCUCUUGAGUAGUUGGGAUUACAGGUGUCCACCACCACACCUGGCUAAAUUUUGUACUUUUAGUAGAGAUGGAGUUUCACCAUGUUGGUCAGGCUGGUCUCAAACUCCUGACCUCAUGAUCCACCCACUUCGGGCUCCCAAAAUGCUGGGAUUACAGGCGUGAGCCACCGUGCCCUGCCAAUCACAAUCUACCUUUAAGUGAUAAUAUGCUACCUUUUUUUUUUUUUUUUUAGACAGUCUCGCUCUGUCCCUCAGGCUGGAGUGCAGUGGCGCAAUCUUGGCUCACUGCAAGCUCUGCCUCCCGGGUUCACGCCAUUCUCCUGUCUCAGUCUCCCAAGUAGCUGGGACUACAGGUGCCUGCCACCAUGCCCGGCUAAUUUUUUGUAUUUUUAGUAGAGACAGGGUUUCACCGUGUUCGCCAGGAUGGUCUCUAUCUCCUGACCUUGUGAUCCGCCUGCCUCAGCCUCCCAAAGUGCUGGAAUUACAGGCAUGAGCCACCAUGCCCAGCCAAUAUACUACUUAAUAUAAAGCAUAAGAACAUUGGCCAGGUGCGGUGGCUUAUGCCUGUAAUCCCAGCACUUUGGGAGGCUGAGGAGGGUAGAUUGCUUGAGCCCACAAGUUUGAGACCAGUGACACCCCAUCUCUACAAAAAAAUGUAAAAAAUUAGCUGGGUAUGGUAGUACAUGCCUGUAGUCUCAGCUACUUGGGAUCGCUUGAGCCCAGGAAGUCAAGGCUGCAGUGAGCCAUGAUUGUGCCACUGCACUCCAACCUGGGCAACAGAGCAAGACCCUAUCCCCACUCCCCACCCUCCCAAAAAAAAGAACCUAAAAGUAGUGUAUUUCUGAUUCUCCACAUACACACUCCAUCUAUUUAAGAAACUACAAUAAAUACAAUGAGUUCAGGCUGGAUGCGGUGGCUCAUGACUGUAAUCCCAGCACCUUGGGAGGCAGAGGUUGGUGGAUCGCUCCACUGUACUCCAGCCUGGGUGACAGAGCGAGACUCUGUCUCAAAAUAAAUAAAUGAAUAAUAAAAUAAAAAGUAAAUGGUCUAGGCCUGGCCAACAUGGUGAAACCCUAUCUCUACAAAAAAUACAAUAUUUAGCCGGGUGUGGUGGUGUGCACCUGUAGUCCCAGCUACUGCGGAGGCUGAGGCAGGAGGAUCACUUGAGCCCAGGAAGUGAAGGCUGCAGUGAGCCACAAUUGCGCACCACUACACUCCAGCCUGGGUGACAGAGUGAGACCCUUUCUAAAAAAAAAAAAAAAAGGAAAGAAAAGAAAAUGUCCAAAUUUAAAGGCAGAGAUUGUCAGAUUGGAUUAAAAAAAGAUUCAGUAUCCUAUUUAUAAGAAACACACUUCAAAUAUAAAGACACAAAUAGGUUAAAAGUAGAAGGAUGGAAAAAGACAUACCUACCAUGCUAUCACAAAUCCAAAAAAAGCUAGCGUGGCUUAUCAAUAUCAGACCAAGUAGAUUGUAUAGCAGAAGACAUUACCAGGGAUAAAGAGGUUAAUUCAAUAAUGAUUAAGGGGUCAGUUAUUCCAGAGGACAUAACAAUUCUAAACGUUUAUGUACCUAAUAACAGAGCUUCAAAACACUUGAAGCAAAAACUUAUAGAACAGCAAAGAGAAAUGGAAAAGUUGACAAUCAUAGUUGAAGAUGUCAAUACCCUGCUUUCAAUAAUUGAUAGAAUUGAUAGAAUAGCUGGGUAUAGCCGUGUAUCACCUGUAGUCCCAGCUACUCAGGAGGCUGUGGCAGGAGAAGCACUUUAGCCCAGGACUUGAGUCUAGUCUGGACAACAUAGUGAGAUCCCACCUCUGAAUAAAUACAUAGAAAUUGAUAGAAUGAAUAGACAGAAAACCAGCAAAUAUAUAGAAGAUUUGAACAACAUUAUCAACCAACUCGAUCCAAUGGACAUUUAUAAAACACUUUACCCAACAACAGCAGAAUACACAUUCCUCUCAAGUUCACACAGAAUAUUUACCAACAUAGACAAUAUUCUGAGACAUUAAACAAGUCUCAGUACAUUUAAAGGGACUCAAGUCAUUCAAAGUAUGCUCUCUUACAAUGGAAUUAAAUUAGAAAUUGGUAACAGAAAGAGCUCUGAAAAUGCCCAAAUAACUUGAAAACGAAAUAACACACUUCUAAAUAAUCCACGGGUCAAAAAAGAAGUCAAAAGAGAAGUCAGAAAGUAUUUUGAACUGACUGAAAAGGAAAACCCAACAUAUCAAGUUGUGUGGUAUUAUUAGCUGUACGUUUCUUUGUAGAUGCUAUUUAUCAGGUUGAAGAAGUUCUCUAUUCUCAGUUUGCUGGGAAUUUUUUUUUUUGUUUUUUGUUUUUUGAAACUGAUUCUGGCUCUGUCACUCAGGCUGGAGUGCAGUGGCGUGAUCUCGGCUCACUGCAAGCUCUGCCUCCUGGGUUCACACCAUUCUCCUGCCUCAGCCUCCCGAAUAGCUGGGACUACAGGCGCCCGCCACCACGCCCGGCUAAUUUUUUGUAUUUUUAGUAGAGACGGGGUUUCACUGUGUUAGCCAGGAUUGUCUCGAUUUCCUGACCUCGUGAUCUGCCCGCCUCGGCCUCCCAAAGUGCUGGGAUUACAGGCAUGAGCCACCACGCCCGGCCAUUUUUUUUUUUUUUAAUUAUGAAUGGGUGUUGGAUUUUUGUCAAAAGCUUUUCUUGCAUCAAUUGAUAUGAUCCUAUGAUUUUCUUCUUUAUCCUGUUGGUAUGCUAAAUUGCAUUAAUUUUUUUGUGUUUUUGUUUUAUGAGACUGAGUCUCACUCUGUAGUCCAAGCUGAAGUGCAGUGGCAUGCAGUGGUCAGCUCACUGCGACCUCCGCCUCCGGGGCUCGGGCUUAAGCUAUUCUCGUGCCUCAGCCUCCCGAGAAGCUGGGACUACAGGCGCAUGUCACAUGCCACCAUGCCCAGCUAAUUGUUUGUAUUUUAGUAGAGAUGGGGUUUCACCAUGUUGCCCAGAGUGGUCUCGAACUCCUGAUCUCAGGCCAUCCACCUGCCUCGGCCUCCCAAAAUGCUGAGAUUACAGGUGUGAGCCACUGUGCCCUGCCUAAUUAAUUUUUGAAUAUUGAGUCAGCUUUGCACACUGCCAAUGCAAUCAAGAUGUAGUUAUUCUUAGGCUGGGCAUGGUGGCUCACACCUGUAAUCCCAGGACUUUGGGAGGCCGAGGAAGGUGGAUCACUGGAGGUCAGGAGUUCAAAACCAGCCUGGCCAACAUGGUGAAACCCCGUCUCUACUAAAAAUACAAAAAACUAAUCAGGCAUUGUGGCGUGUGUCUGCUACUCAGGAGGCUGAGGCAGAAGAAUGGCUUGAACCCGGGAGGCGGGAGGUUGCAGUGAGCCAAGAUCACGCCACUGCACUCCAGCCUGGGCAACAGAGCAAGACUCUGUCUCAAAAAAAAAAAAGUAGUAGUUAUUCUUUCUCUACCCCCUCUCCCUUCCCACUGACUGAGGCAGGCAAUGAUGAUGAAGCCUUAGGCAGAGGAGAUGGAAGGUGAUGUGCUCCGGAAUCACUGUAUGGGGGAAAACCCCCUCAUCAACCACAAACACUCACACUGGUCAGUCAUGUGAGUGAGAAACACAUGUCUUUUGGGUUAAGACGUUAAUAUUUGGGGAUUUAUAUUAGGGGAUUUAUUUAUUACAACAGCUAGCGUUUCCUUGCUGUUAACCUCAAAAAUCAUCAGUGUAUCUCGAAAGACACAUUCUUCUUCUUCUUCUCUUUUUAAUUGAGAUGGAGUCUCGCUCUGUUGCCCAAGCUGGAGUGCAGUGAUGCAAUCUUGGCUCACUGCAACCUCUGCUGGCCAGGUUCAAGCAAUUCUCCUGCCUCAGCGUCCAGAGUAGCUGGUAUUACAGGUGCCCAUCACCACGCCCAGCUAAUUUUUGUAUUUUUAGUAGAGACAGAGGUUCGCCAUGUUGGCCAGGCUGGUCUCGAACUCCUGACCUCAGGUGAUCCACCUGCCUUGGCCUCCCAAAGUGCUGGGAUGACAGGUUGGAGCCUCUGCGCCCAGCCCAAUUCUUGAGUAUUAAAUGCUUAACUGCCUUGUUAUACCUCCUGUACUAAGAACACUAAAAAUGUAGAGCAUUUUAGACAAGAAACCUAAUUAAAAAAAAAAAAAAAAAACCCAGUUCAAAAGCAUUUGGGAGUGAUUCAGAAAACCACAGCCCCGGAGCUAUAGUCUCUGAAGAUGCGGGGCCUGGACCUCUCUGCAUUCCCCCAUUGGUGUCUGCUGAAGACUAGCGUCUGCAGAAAUCCCAGUCUGUACACAGGCUGAGACUAUUCCUUUUCCCUACAUCCUGGUGAUGGGCACACACACACCUCAAGGGAGGCGUCGAUGCUCUCAGGCACUGAACUUGUUCCCGUGUCUUUAUGUUUCAUGAUCGUAUAUGAGAGAGGGAGCGUGGCCUGGAACUGUACACAAAAUGUGACCGAAAACAGCCUCUCGCUGUUUCCAAUUAAACAACCUGCUCGAGCCUUUGGUUUCUCUCCAUCACUUCCUGUCUCAAUCUCACUGACGUCUUCUUUUUUAGCAAAAUGCAUUUGUAUUUCAAGCAGAAGAUCAAUGGUUACAUUUUAAAACGCUAAAUAUCUUUUCUGCCAGGCCGAAUGGGGGUGUUUCUCCCAUCCUUCUCUGCACGUCUUCUCAUCUUAAAGCGAUGGAAUUGAGUUCUGUGAAAUCCGAUCUGGUGUUUAAGCUCUGAUUUAUAACAAAUUACCUAUGUGGCACUCAAGAAAGAACUUGUAUGUCAGAUAACACUGGAGUUUGAUUUCACCACCCUGCCCCCAAACCCGUUUAUUCAUUCAUGGCGGGGAGAGAUCCAGAGGGCCGGAGCAAUUUCAUCAACCCUGGAAUUCGCGCAUGGAGCCUCCUCUCCCCAGACCAUCCUGCUACCAUGAAUAGACAGCACGUGGCCGCCUUUUAUGAUAAGGUCAGAGGAAAGGAGUGCAUAGAGAGAGGCCGUUUGGAGAGUCGGAGCUGUAAGUUUCAGGUAUAAAACCUGAAUAGUACCAGUCCUCUUGCCUGGGGCCAGAUCAGACAGGAGGGAGGAGGUGGAAGGCAACUGUUCCACCUCCCGAGGUGAUUCCUUUGGACGCCUGAAUCCUUUGGAUUCCCUGGCUCCCAGCAGCGGACUCUGCCCUCAGCCAUCUUUAUCACUCCUGAUUAGGGCUGCAGACGCCUCCCUCCCCACCCUGCCUUGCCAGGCUUUGUGGCUCCCCGGGCUCGUUUUCUGAUAGAGCUGUCAGUUUUUACUACUGAUAGGAGAAAUCAUUUUCUUUCUUAGCUGAAUGUUAAUUGGCUCCCCUCCCCCAUUCACUUAGUAUAUCCCGUCCCCUAUUUUUUUUUUUUACCCCAAGGAAAAGGUACCUUAGUAGAGACACAUUUCGGAAAGACAAAGAAGGUGUUUCUUGCUAAAUUGCUAAUUGGUAACUGAAAUCAGAGGUUAAGAAAAAGCUAAAGAGGAGAGCGAGGAAGGAAUUAGGACCACAUGUUUCUGUAG